CGCGUAGGCGGUCUGUUAAGUUCGGUGUGAAAGCCCCCGGCUUACCCGGGGAACUGCGCCGGAAACCGACAGACUCGAGUACCGGAGAGGAGGGUGGAAUUCCUGGUGUAGCGGUGAAAUGCGUAGAUAUCAGGAGGAACACCGGUGGCGAAGGCGGCCCUCUGGACGGAUACUGACGCUGAGGCGCGAAAGCGUGGGGAUCAAACA
RNAcentral lists this ribosomal RNA (207 nucleotides) under uncultured bacterium. Its description in RNAcentral is "partial 16S ribosomal RNA". It matches the Rfam family "Bacterial small subunit ribosomal RNA", at positions 568 to 774 of the family's 1533-position model. The record is from RNAcentral.